This 492-nucleotide long non-coding RNA is filed under the name Betta splendens (Siamese fighting fish). Its description in RNAcentral is "lncRNA (ENSBSLG00000012473.1)". Lineage: Eukaryota; Metazoa; Chordata; Actinopteri; Anabantiformes; Osphronemidae. The record is from RNAcentral.
AUGAGUGGUUUUUUGUCCAGGGGACGGCACUCUGCCGCAGAGGACCGGGCCGGGCCCAGGAGCAGCGGACCAGCGAUGGAUUUGUCCUUCGAUGACAAAGAGAAGGUCCCACUUCAGAUGCACAGCCUCCGAGAGUUCGAACAGCACCUGAAUGACCUGAAGAGGGAGAACUUCAGCCUGAAGCUCCGGAUCUAUUUCCUGGAGGAGAAGAUCCAGCAGAAGUUUGAGGAGAGCAGCGAUGACGUGCACAAGAGGGGUGAGUGAGCUCCUGACAUGCUGCGGCUCGGCCCGUUUGGGUUGGACCUUGUUCUGAACCGAAAAAUAAGGAGAAUCGGUUUUGCACCCUGGUUUGUUGGGUUGUUUUGGAGCGCAGUAGUGGUAGCACUGGGUCCCGUUGGAUUUCACCUUCCAGCAGAAGCUCAUAGAAUCACUGUCUGAUGCUGAGGACCUGAAACCUGGUGAAAGUCAGUGAGCUGCAUGGAGCCAACUCCA